Molecule: ribosomal RNA, 239 nt
Filed under: uncultured bacterium
Lineage: Bacteria
Description: partial 16S ribosomal RNA
Rfam family: Bacterial small subunit ribosomal RNA
Source: RNAcentral
GAUCAUGGCUCAGAUUGAACGCUGGCGGCGUGCUUAACACAUGCAAGUCGAACGCGAAAGUGGCUUCGGCCACGAGUAGAGUGGCGCACGGGUGAGUAACGCGUGGAUAAUCUGCCUCUGCAAUCGGAAUAACGACUGGAAACGGUCGCUAAUACCGGAUACGCUUAAGCUUUACCUCUUAAGGAAAGAUGACCUCUAUUUAUAAGUUAUCGUGCAAAGAUGAGUCCGCGUCCCAUUAG